GCCGAGCGCCGGGCGCGCGGUCCUGCGAGGAGACGUGGCAGAGUGCGGCGCACCCGCGCCGGACCGGAAAGCCGGGGAAGUGGCUGAGGAGGGAGGGCUGCUAGCCAUGGCGACCAAGACGGCGGGCGUGGGGCGGUGGGAGGUAGUGAAGAAGGGUCGGCGGCCUGGGGCCGGCGCCGGCGCCGGCGGCCGAGGCGGCGGCAGGAAACGCAGGGCGCUCGGGGAAGCAAACGGAGUGUGGAAAUACGACCUGACCCCUGCAAUCCAGACCACAAGCACCCUUUAUGAGCGGGGCUUUGAGAAUAUCAUGAAGCGGCAGAAUAAGGAGCAGGUCCCACCCCCUGCUGUGGAGCCUAAGAAACCAGGGAACAAGAAGCAGCCAAAGAAGGUGGCAACUCCUCCCAACCAAAACCAGAAGCAGGGCCGCUUCCGCAGCCUGGAGGAAGCACUGAAAGCUCUGGAUGUGGCAGACCUGCAGAAGGAACUGGACAAGAGCCAGAGUGUGUUCUCUGGAAACCCAUCCAUAUGGUUGAAGGACCUGGCCAGCUAUCUCAACUACAAGCUACAAGCUCCUCUAAGUGAACCCACGCUGAGCCAGCAUACUCAUGGUAAGUCCUUCCAGCUUCCUCAAGCUCAGACAAGUUCAAAUAAAUUCAAAAAGGGUGGUAUAACAGAUCCCAGUGCCCCACACUGUCCUGAUUUCCAUGGGUGAUUUGGGCUGGUCUCAAAUCAUCGUGACUGUGAAUGUUUCUGGGCCUCAUUCUGUGAUCCUCCCUCUGGGCCUCCUCAGAGGAAGGAUCCCAG
Molecule: small RNA, 804 nt
Filed under: Pan troglodytes (chimpanzee)
Lineage: Eukaryota; Metazoa; Chordata; Mammalia; Primates; Hominidae
Description: retained intron
Source: RNAcentral